This 301-nucleotide ribosomal RNA is filed under the name uncultured bacterium. RNAcentral's name for it is "partial 16S ribosomal RNA". It matches the Rfam family "Bacterial small subunit ribosomal RNA", at positions 509 to 807 of the family's 1533-position model. The record is from RNAcentral.
CAGCCGCCGCGGUAAUACGUAGGUGGCAAGCGUUGUCCGGAAUUAUUGGGCGUAAAGGGCUCGCAGGCGGUUUCUUAAGUCUGAUGUGAAAGCCCCCGGCUCAACCGGGGAGGGUCAUUGGAAACUGGGAAACUUGAGUGCAGAAGAGGAGAGUGGAAUUCCACGUGUAGCGGUGGAAUGCGUAGAGAUGUGGAGGAACACCAGUGGCGAAGACGACUCUCUGGUCUGUAACUGACGCUGAGGAGCGAAAGCGUGGGGAGCGAACAGGAUUAGAUACCCCAGUAGUCCCUGUCUCUUAUAC